UACACUCCUACGGGAGGCAGCAGUGGGGAAUAUUGCACAAUGGGCGCAAGCCUGAUGCAGCGACGCCGCGUGGGGGAUGAAGGCCUUCGGGUUGUAAACUCCUUUCGCUAGGGACGAAGCUUUUUUGUGACGGUACCUAGAUAAGAAGCACCGGCUAACUACGUGCCAGCAGCCGCGGUAAUACGUAGGGUGCGAGCGUUUUCCGGAAUUACUGGGCGUAAAGGGCUCGUAGGUGGUUUGUCGCGUCGUCUGUGAAAUUCUGGGGCUUAACUCCGGGCGUGCAGGCGAUACGGGCAUAACUUGAGUGCUGUAGGGGUAACUGGAAUUCCUGGUGUAGCGGUAAAAUGCGCAGAUAUCAGGAGGAACACCGAUGGCGAAGGCAGGUUACUGGGCAGUUACUGACGCUGAGGAGCGAAAGCAUGGGUAGCGAACAGGAUUAGAAACCCCAGUAGUCCCAUGAU
This 461-nucleotide ribosomal RNA is filed under the name uncultured organism. RNAcentral's name for it is "partial 16S ribosomal RNA". It matches the Rfam family "Bacterial small subunit ribosomal RNA", at positions 332 to 801 of the family's 1533-position model. The record is from RNAcentral.